Molecule: long non-coding RNA, 220 nt
Organism: Pelobates fuscus (common spadefoot toad)
Lineage: Eukaryota; Metazoa; Chordata; Amphibia; Anura; Pelobatidae
Exons: 3
Source: RefSeq, a predicted model, not a curated record
GCAGCAAAGAAUCUUUUGUGAAUUCUGGUCUUCAGGAAAAUAUUACUGCUGAUGAAAACCCAGCAGGGAAAAUGAGAGAUGCAGAGGGCAAGAUCACAGGAAUCGAGAUGCAGAAAUACACACCUCUACUGCAUGAAACAAGUAGUCAAUCUGACUUACCAAAAAAACGUGGGAGAAAGAAGAAAAAUUUUACCAUACCAUGUUUACAUCCGGAUAAAAA